This 78-nucleotide transfer RNA is filed under the name Henicorhynchus siamensis (Siamese mud carp). RNAcentral's name for it is "tRNA-Lys". It matches the Rfam family "tRNA". Rfam says of the family: Transfer RNA (tRNA) molecules are approximately 80 nucleotides in length. Their secondary structure includes four short double-helical elements and three loops (D, anti-codon, and T loops). The record is from RNAcentral. Lineage: Eukaryota; Metazoa; Chordata; Actinopteri; Cypriniformes; Cyprinidae.
CGCUAGGAAGCUAAAACUAUUGGACAAAGCAUUGGCCUUUUAAGCCGAAGAUUGGUGAUUCCCGACCACCCCUAGUGA